RNAcentral lists this ribosomal RNA (493 nucleotides) under fungal endophyte sp. DM202. RNAcentral describes it as "eukaryotic LSU rRNA". It matches the Rfam family "Eukaryotic large subunit ribosomal RNA", at positions 148 to 659 of the family's 3401-position model. Lineage: Eukaryota; Fungi. The record is from RNAcentral.
AUUUGCAGAGGAUGCUUUUGGCGCGGUGCCUUCCGAGUUCCCUGGAACGGGACGCCUUAGAGGGUGAGAGCCCCGUACGGUUGGACACCAAGCCUCUGUAAAGCUCCUUCGACGAGUCGAGUAGUUUGGGAAUGCUGCUCUAAAUGGGAGGUAAAUUUCUUCUAAAGCUAAAUAUUGGCCAGAGACCGAUAGCGCACAAGUAGAGUGAUCGAAAGAUGAAAAGCACUUUGAAAAGAGGGUUAAACAGCACGUGAAAUUGUUGAAAGGGAAGCGUUUGCGACCAGACCUCUUCCCGGCGGAUCAUCCGGUGGUUUCCACCGGUGCACUUCGCCGGGUCGAGGCCAGCAUCGGUCUCUGCAGGGGGAUAAAAGCCCUGGGAACGUAGCUCCUCCGGGAGUGUUAUAGCCCUUCGCAUAAUACCCUUGCGGGGACCGAGGACCGCGCCUUCGGGCAAGGAUGCUGGCGUAAUGGUCGUCAACGACCCGUCUUGAAA